Molecule: long non-coding RNA, 985 nt
Filed under: Mus spretus (western wild mouse)
Lineage: Eukaryota; Metazoa; Chordata; Mammalia; Rodentia; Muridae
Description: predicted gene 10550 (ENSMSPG00010000813.1)
Source: RNAcentral
GAGGAAGAACUGCAAACCCAGGCACUACCAAUCCUGUGACAUGCAAGAUUCCUGAGUUGUGCAGUGACACUUGGCAAGCGAAAGGAGACCCAAGACUACAGGACUCUCUGAUGGUCUGCUGCUGAACAAUGACCACUGAGAGCAAGCACAGGAAAUGUGGAGCCCAGAGAGACCUGACACACAGCAGGAGAACCUCUCCUAUUCAGCCCUCUUUCGGUCCAUGGGCUCACGAGGGACAGACGGCCUCUCUCGCGUGUGCUUGGAGGAGAAACUAUAUGAAUGAAGUGAGCCAAUGAACUUGCAAGCUCCAGAUCCUGGAGGUGUGAAGUCGUCCAUAGAAAUGCCGCUGCUCUUGUCUGCCCCCUCAGCGUCGGUGGAGGAAGAGGCCUUCUGGUGGUCAGCCUCUGUAGCAGACGCUUGUGCCUCUUCCUGGCCUCUGGCCAAUGGGGCAGCCGGGUCAUCUCCUGGAGUUUUUUCCAGAGACUGACCCUGCUCCUGGCUGACAGCACCUGGGGUGACCUUGGGGGCUGCAUCAUCUUGUGGAGAAGCUCGCUUCAACUUUCGGGACUCUGGCUUGGCCAUCAAGUUAUCACUUGAAGACAGUGAAGAUCCUAUGGUUCCUUUCCCUGUCUCUGCGCUUGUGUGGCCCCUCAUGGCCGCUGUGGUCUUUCUCCUAGCAUGGCCAUGUCCUCCAGCCCCCCUCUUCUUCUCUGACAGGUGGAAAAUAGAGGGUACAGCUGUGGGCUUCAGCAGGCGAUGCUGGUCCUCCAGUCUUUUGGAGAAGCUGUCUUUGGUAAAAUGCUCACUACAGAGGAAUGAAUACUUAGUCGGGGUCCAAUUAUCCCUCUGAACAGCUUUUAACCACUGGAUCAGUCGUUUGGAGUCCUUUAGGGGAAACCUUCAAGACAAAUGACAAAGUACUUAGAAAUAUUGACAUGCAUUCUUCUAAAACUAUCAUCAAUAAAAGCAAAUCAAGUAUUUCUGC